CGGACGGGUGAGUAAUGUCUGGGAAACUGCCCGAUGGAGGGGGAUAACUACUGGAAACGGUAGCUAAUACCGCAUAACGUCGCAAGACCAAGAGGGGACCUUCGGGCCUCUUGCCAUCGGAUGUGUCCAGAUGGGAUUAGCUAGUAGGUGGGGUAACGGCUCACCUAGGCGACGAUCCCUAGCUGGUCUGAGAGGAUGACCAGCCACACUGGAACUGAGACACGGUCCAG
RNAcentral lists this ribosomal RNA (230 nucleotides) under uncultured bacterium. RNAcentral describes it as "partial 16S ribosomal RNA". It matches the Rfam family "Bacterial small subunit ribosomal RNA", at positions 99 to 334 of the family's 1533-position model. The record is from RNAcentral.